GCUCCGGUGACCUAAGUGGUUACAGCAUCCUCCUCAGAUGAGGGAGGCGCGGGUUCGAACCCCGGUCGAGCA
Non-coding RNA from Potamilus streckersoni, 72 nucleotides. The record is from the annotation of a GenBank genome assembly. Lineage: Eukaryota; Metazoa; Mollusca; Bivalvia; Unionida; Unionidae.